This 468-nucleotide ribosomal RNA is filed under the name uncultured bacterium. RNAcentral's name for it is "partial 16S ribosomal RNA". It matches the Rfam family "Bacterial small subunit ribosomal RNA", at positions 28 to 507 of the family's 1533-position model. The record is from RNAcentral.
GACGAACGCUGGCGGCGUGCUUAACACAUGCAAGUCGAACGGAAAGGCCCUGCUUUUGUGGGGUGCUCGAGUGGCGAACGGGUGAGUAACACGUGAGUAACCUGCCCUUGACUUUGGGAUAACUUCAGGAAACUGGGGCUAAUACCGGAUAGGAGCUCCUGCUGCAUGGUGGGGGUUGGAAAGUUUCGGCGGUUGGGGAUGGACUCGCGGCUUAUCAGCUGGUUGGUGGGGUAGUGGCUUACCAAGGCUUUGACGGGUAGCCGGCCUGAGAGGGUGACCGGCCACCUGGGGACUGCGAGAGGGCCCAGACUCGAACGGGAGGCAGCGGUGGGGAAUAUUGCACAGUGGGCGGAAGCCUGAUGCAGCAACGCCGCGUGCGGGAUGACGGCCUUCUGGUUGUAAACCGCUUUCGCCUGUGACGAAGCGUGAGUGACGGUAAUGGGUAAAGAAGCACCGGCUAACUACGUG